Stegodyphus dumicola is the source of this 1133-nucleotide long non-coding RNA. Lineage: Eukaryota; Metazoa; Arthropoda; Arachnida; Araneae; Eresidae. The record is from RefSeq and is a predicted model, not a curated record.
AGCUACUAUAUCCUAACAUGUUUUAUUAAAUUUUUCCAUUAGAUUGCAGGAAUGUUGCAACAUGUGGCAGUGAUAGAACAUUAAAAGUGAUAGAUGUAAAGACAGCUACUUUGCUCUUCAAUACAGAAUCUGACGAAGAGCUGAGAUGUCUUUGCUGGAUUGGGAGUGUUGCUGUUGCUGGUUCUUUAUGUGGAAAUCUAUUUGUGUGGGAUCUCUUCAAAGCAGAGUUGUUGGAUACGCUGCCUGCUCAUACAGGUGCUGUUACUUGCAUAUCAAUAUCAGAUGAUGGUGAAAUAUUAGUUACCGGUGGAGAAGACUUGCAUAUGAAAGCAUGGCGAAUCCAAGAUAGCUAAGCAUUUUGAUGCCAUUAAAUGAAUUGUGAACUCAUUUGUAUAUUUUGCUCCAAUAAAUCAAAUUUUAUGUGAUAAAGCAGUACUUUGGUAUUGUGCUAAUUUCCUCUCAUACUGUAUAUUGGAAGUGUAUUAUGAAAAGUUUGCAGUAUUAAUUUUGCUGUAAAUUUUAAUGUAUUAAUGAUAAUAGAAGAUAUGACUUCUGUUUACUAUUCCGAAGGCCAUAAAUGUUUAAUUCUGUAGACUUUGAUAACAUUUGAAAUAGGGUGACAUAUCUUAAAUUUAAUAGUAAUUGUCUUUGUAGCUGUGCUUUUGUUUGUUUUGGUCACAUAAUUGAGAUGAAAUUCAGAUGAAAGGAGGUAAAUUCAUUUGGAUCUGCACACACUCAGCUUAGUUGCAUAAAAUCUAGAAUAUUGUGCCUUUUGCAUUUGUGAUAAAGAUAUUAUACUGAAUACUUUUUGUGUUUUUAUUAAAAUCAUGAUGCAAAUGGUUUGCACCUAUGUCAUUAGGUCUGUGAGAGAUACUGAAAUACUUUUAUUGUUUGUAUAAGAUUUUUUAUUUAAAAUGCUCUUAUUUAAUAAAAUGUCUUUCAUAUCUAUUAUGUAAAUAAAGGAAUUUAAACUCCUUUUGUAUUGAUUACAUGCUGUAUAAUAUAUAAUAAAUAUUAAGUUGCAGAUAUUAAUAUAUGAAAAAAUAAUCAUAUCUGAUGGAUAAAACCCAGAAAAACUAGCAAACAAACUUAAGAACAAACCUGAUCUGUUAUAAUAAAAUGCAGAAUAUGUA